GACGAACGCUGGCGGCGUGCUUAACACAUGCAAGUCGAACGGAAAGGCCCUGCUGUUGUGGGAUGCUCGAGUGGCGAACGGGUGAGUAACACGUGAGUGACCUGCCCUUGGCGUUGGGAUAACUUCAGGAAACUGGGGCUAAUAUCGGAUAGGAGCUCCUGCGGCAUGGUGGGGGUUGGAAAGUUUCGGCGGUUGGGGAUGGACUCGCGGCUUAUCAGCUUGGUGGUGGGGUAGUGGCUUACCAAGGCUUUGACGGGUAGCCGGCCAGAGAGGGUGACCGGCCACAUUGGGACUGAGAUACGGACCAGACUCCUACGGGAGGCAGCAGUGGGGAAUAUUGCACAAUGGGCGGAAGCCUGAUGCAGCAACGCCGCGUGCGGGAUGACGGCCUUCGGGUUGUAAACCGCUUUCGCCUGUGACGAAGCGUGAGUGACGGUAAUGUGUAAAGAAGCACCGGCUAACUACGUG
This 468-nucleotide ribosomal RNA is filed under the name uncultured bacterium. Its description in RNAcentral is "partial 16S ribosomal RNA". It matches the Rfam family "Bacterial small subunit ribosomal RNA", at positions 28 to 507 of the family's 1533-position model. The record is from RNAcentral.